GACGAACGCUGGCGGUGUGCUUAACACAUGCAAGUCGAACGGUAAGGCCCUUUCGGGGGUACACGAGUGGCGAACGGGUGAGUAACACGUGAGUAACCUGCCCUCAUCUCUGGGAUAACAGUCGGAAACGGUUGCUAAUACUGGAUAUGAGCUUGCAAGGCAUCUUGUGGGUUGGAAAGAUUUUUUUGGUUGGGGAUGGACUCGCGGCCUAUCAGCUUGUUGGUGAGGUAGUGGCUCACCAAGGCUUCGACGGGUAGCCGGCCUGAGAGGGCGACCGGCCACAUUGGGACUGAGAUACGGCCCAAACUCCGACGGGAGGCAGCAGUGGGGAAUAUUGCACAAUGGACGGAAGUCUGAUGCAGCAACGCCGCGUGCGGGAUGACGGCCUUCGGGUUGUAAACCGCUUUCAAUUGUGACGAAGCUUUUUGUGACGGUAGCAGUAGAAGAAGCACCGGCUAACUACGUG
Molecule: ribosomal RNA, 466 nt
Filed under: uncultured bacterium
Lineage: Bacteria
Description: partial 16S ribosomal RNA
Rfam family: Bacterial small subunit ribosomal RNA
Source: RNAcentral